ACUUAAACGUGGAUUUACUUGCU
RNAcentral lists this microRNA (23 nucleotides) under Sarcophilus harrisii (Tasmanian devil). RNAcentral describes it as "Sha-Mir-430-P3_5p* (star (passenger))". RNAcentral also lists the same sequence under 2 other names. The record is from RNAcentral. Lineage: Eukaryota; Metazoa; Chordata; Mammalia; Dasyuromorphia; Dasyuridae.